RNAcentral lists this ribosomal RNA (253 nucleotides) under uncultured bacterium. RNAcentral's name for it is "partial 16S ribosomal RNA". It matches the Rfam family "Bacterial small subunit ribosomal RNA", at positions 524 to 776 of the family's 1533-position model. The record is from RNAcentral.
UACAGAGGGGGCGAGCGUUAUUCGGAAUUAUUGGGCGUAAAGGGCGCGUAGGCGGCUUUUCAAGUGACGGGUGAAAUCCCUCGGCUUAACCGAGGAACUGCCUGUCAGACUGGAAGGCUUGAGACCGGGAGAGGUGAGUGGAAUUCCCAGCGUAGCGGUGAAAUGCGUAGAUAUUGGGAGGAACACCAGUGGCGAAGGCGGCUCACUGGACCGGAACUGACGCUGAGGCGCGAAAGCGUGGGGAGCAAACAGG